Molecule: ribosomal RNA, 269 nt
Filed under: uncultured Planctomycetales bacterium
Lineage: Bacteria; Pseudomonadati; Planctomycetota; Planctomycetia; Planctomycetales
Description: partial 16S ribosomal RNA
Rfam family: Bacterial small subunit ribosomal RNA
Source: RNAcentral
GAGCACGUAGGUGGGUUUGUAAGUCAGAUGUGAAAGCCUUCUGUUCAACGGAAGAAUUGCAUCUGAAACUGCGAGUCUUGAGUGUAGGAGGGGAGAAUGGAACUUCUGGUGGAGCGGUGAAAUGCGUAGAUAUCAGAAGGAACGCCGGCGGCGAAGGCGAUUCUCUGGCCUAUUACUGACACUCAGUGUGCGAAAGCUAGGGGAGCAAACGGGAUUAGAUACCCCGGUGGUCCUAGCCGUAAACGAUGGGCACUAAGUAGAGGGGUUUU